This is a long non-coding RNA of Vigna radiata var. radiata (mung bean), 867 nucleotides long. RefSeq lists it as uncharacterized. Lineage: Eukaryota; Viridiplantae; Streptophyta; Magnoliopsida; Fabales; Fabaceae. The record is from RefSeq and is a predicted model, not a curated record. The transcript has 2 exons.
GUUACUCCUUUUUCGUAACAACGUUAAAAAUUAAACGACGCAGUUGCCUUUCUGGACUAAACUUAAUGAUGUGUCAAUGUUGCGUGAUUGCGUGGCAAUGAGAUUAAAAAUAGAUUAGAUGGAUUUUUUUUACAGAGGUUAAAAAAGUACUUUCCCUUCCUUUUUAUGAGUUAAGGGCUCCAAUCAAAACAGGGAACCUUUCUUCCCUCUCUUCUUUUCUAAUUCCAGCGAUUUCUAUUUGGGAAUGGAGGUCUAGUUUGGUGGCUCAAGCGUGACCCAUCUACAAUAGGCUCAAUGGUCGUUUUCAGCGUAGAGAGUCGCAAGCUCCAGUUGCACGAAGGAGAUGACAGUGGUGGCGUUCUGACGAACUGAAGACCUCUGAGUGUGAGCCUCCUCGGAGCGGAAGCAAACCGCGAUGGUGGACGCGGGUCAGUCUUGAUUGCGACUGAGUGCAAUCGGCGUCACGACAACGACGCGUCGCGAGAGACCUCCGACGACGAGGAGGAGAAGGUUGAAGAGCUGAUUAUCUGGUGAUGGCAGUGUAAAAAAUGACAUUGUGAUGCCGCCGUGGUUCUGAUUCUGCGUUUUAGGGUUUAGGUUGUUCAUCAAUUUUUUGGGGGUUUUGCUUAUGAUGAUCUGAUCUCGUCUGCAACUUCAGAUUUGCGUGAAUGGUGGCCACGGAGGGCUGGUGGAUGCCGCUGUAGGGUCGCAGUGACGACGUUGUUAGCUUCUGACUGGGAUUACCUAAACUUGGGUUGGACUGCAGUUUGGGUUGGGCUGGCAAAUAUUGGUUGGGUUAACUAAUGUGGGAGGGGCACGUGGAUGUCUUUUUUAACCUCUGUAAAAAAAAUGCCACCUAAUUUUUUA